This 468-nucleotide ribosomal RNA is filed under the name uncultured bacterium. Its description in RNAcentral is "partial 16S ribosomal RNA". It matches the Rfam family "Bacterial small subunit ribosomal RNA", at positions 28 to 507 of the family's 1533-position model. The record is from RNAcentral.
GACGAACGCUGGCGGCGUGCUUAACACAUGCAAGUCGAACGGACAGGCCCUGCUUUUGUUGCGUUCUCGAGUGGCGCGCGGGUGAGUAACACGUGAGUAACCUGCCCUUGUCUUUGUGAUAACUUUAGGAAACUGCGGCUCUUACCGGAUAUGAGCUCCUGCUGCAUGGUGUUGGUUGGAAAGUUUCGGCGGUUGGGGAUGGACUCGCGGCUUAUCAGCUUGAUUGUCGGGUAGUUGCUUACCAAGGCUUUGACGGGUAGCCGGCCUGAGAGGGUUACCGGCCACAUUGGGACUGAGAUACGGCCCAGAAUGCUACGGGAGGCAGCAGUGGGGAAUAUUGCACAAUGGGCGGAAGCCUGAUGCAGCAACGCCGCGUGCGGGAUGACGGGCUUCGGGUUGUAAACCGCUUUCGCCUGUGACGAAGCGUGAGUGACGGUAAUGGGUAAAGAAGCACCGGCUAACUACGUG